Molecule: ribosomal RNA, 159 nt
Filed under: Triticum aestivum (bread wheat)
Lineage: Eukaryota; Viridiplantae; Streptophyta; Magnoliopsida; Poales; Poaceae
Description: partial small subunit ribosomal RNA
Source: RNAcentral
AUGUUCCAUGCUAAAGGAUUCGGGUCCAUAACCACGAGUUCCGGUGCACUAAAUCUUGUAGCACUUAGCAACGAAGCCCUAUCCAUUAGUAUUCCACAUAAGAAAUCCAUUUUAGAAAAAAAAAAUACAAUUAGAUUAGCUCUUCAUAGACAAACUUAG